UACGCAGGCGGGAAGACAGGUCAGAUGUGAAACCCCAAGGCUUAACCAUGGGCCUGCAUCUGAAACCAUCUUUCUUGAGUAUCGGAGAGGAAAGCGGAACUCCUGGUGUAGCGGUGAAAUGCGUAGAUAUCAGGAGGAACACCGGUGGCGAAGGCGGCUUUCUGGCCGAAUACUGACGCUCAUGUACGAAGGCCGGGGGAGCAAACA
Molecule: ribosomal RNA, 207 nt
Filed under: uncultured bacterium
Lineage: Bacteria
Description: partial 16S ribosomal RNA
Rfam family: Bacterial small subunit ribosomal RNA
Source: RNAcentral